UUAGCUUGAUUUCAGUAGGUUAUCUGACUAACAAGCAUAGUCUGAGCAGCCAGUCAGACUUAUCUACCAAAAUUCAGAGGGGGACUGGGACAACUCAGAAAAAUCAAGCAACAGGAGACCUGAAGGAGACACAGAUGACUGAUUGUCACUGGUGGAUAGACAAUAUGCUGGACACCUACUAUACUUUCAGAGGGAACCUGAACUUGUUAGCUCCGUUACUCAUGGAACAAAUUACAGCAUAAAGGACUGAGAACACUUUGAGCUCCCAGUGAAGGUUUAAAAAAGCACAUUACGCUGUAACACAUACCCCCUUCUGCCUAAGGAUCUUCUACUGACUCAAGCUAUAGUUCAAGUCCUAGUACUACGUACCAGAGAUGGCUAUGUAAAAUUGCGACCAGUGUGCAAAGGGGGCAUAAUAUGACAGAAAAAAAAAUCCACAAAGAAAAAUAGCUAACAAUUUUGAAGCUUACAACUGCAUCAACAGAAAAGGUUACACAAAUCCCAGAUGAGAUCCAAGAAGGACAUUUUAUUUCUUCCUCCAUGUUUCCGUCAGUGAGAAAAGAUACGAUUAUUUAACGUUCAUGAUAAUACAGGUGCAAAUACAAGAGGUUAUUUAACAGGAAUUAAAGAGCUCAACUCAAAAAACUUUACUUGGUUUUAUGAAAACAAAACAUUGGAGUACGCUGCAUUUGCUCUCAUUUCAAUCCCUAAACAACAACUUAGCUAAACUCUGAGCUAACUCUCAGGCUUUUUAAACGUAUACAUCAGAUCAUGAAUAUCAUCACAUGCAAGCGUGCGCCUCCUACAGCAUCUCUCUGUAGCUUGUGAAACUUCAGAAGUUUUAUUACUGAGUAUGUACAGAAUGGUCUUACUCUCUGAAACUCCUGUUGUGAGCAAUUUCUUCUUGAGCCAGCCUCAUGCUAUCUGGUUUCAGCCUACAAAGACAGGCUGAGGGACACAGUGUUACGAUUCCCUUUCGGUCAGAGAUUCUCCUAGCUUACAGAAGGAAAACCAUCAUACAUUCUGCUCAGAAAAGCAGCGUGUUCUCUCACACUCAUCAUGUUGUAACUGGAAAAAUUAAAUAAUGGCUAAUAGGGGAAUCUUACUGGCACACCAGGCAAAACUUUCACCUGAAAAACUGCUGUGGUUUGUUUUUGUUUUUCAGUUAAUCUAUUUAAAAAUGAAUUACCAUAGCAAUGAUUUAGGAAUGUUGGAAGGUUAUUCACUGAAAUGACUUAAUAAAACGUAACUUAAGAAGGUGUAAGGCACCAGAGAUCCUCCUGGUCCACUGUGCUUCCUCCAGCAAUGGGAGCCCAACAGGAGAUAGACAAGCCCAAGACCCCAGACAGUGUGCCAAUCUCCACUUAUUCAGCUCAGGAAUGUCCUUGAACCAAACCAUGUUUCUACACACUCAGCAGCCCCCAAAUGACUUCUGUGAACUUGCCCUGUCUUCCCCAAAGGCCAUGACAACUUUACAACAUAGCUUCACUUUUACAUGCUGCCACUGACAUGCAUGGACUGCAACAAUACCCUACUGUCUUUCACAUUACUUUUAUGGCCUAGCCAUUGUGCAUGGGAUUUCUGCAUACCUAUCCAUCAUGUUCCUAGCAAAGAUUAUACAGUAACACAGAAGAAGUGUCCUACAGUUACGCGAUGAAAGCAGAAGGGAAGAGUUCUUGUUACAUGGGACUACAACAGCUAGGAAGUCUUUUGUACACUAGAGUUCAGAUCAGUCAGUUCCUUUUGAAACACAUCAGACCAAGCCUUACAGCUUCUGCCCACCAAAUUAAGUUUAGGUGUGAGCAAAGGUAGUAGUGUUCAUUUAUCCAGAGGGCAAGGGUGAACAAGACAGACCCGUUCUUAUACUACCCAACCUCUGCAAGAAGUAGCAGGCAGCAAAUCACAAACAGCAAAAUUUACACAGCACGGGGUUUCUCUGAACAUGUAGGUCUUCAGUGGCUUCUGGUCUGACCUUAAUCUCUGACUGUAGAUGCAGGGUUGGAAGUAAGCGUGUUAUUUAGACAGCAUUCACUCUCCCAUUACAUCCUACCAUUCAUUCCUACCUCCACUUUCAUUUUCCCCCAUCUUGUUCACUCCACAUGUUAAACUAGGGAAAUGAUCCACAUUAAGAAUAAGCUCUCCCAUCCACUCAUAUAUACGGUCAGGCAAAACAAACAGCUUUGCCAGGACACAGCUGAGGGCAUGGUGCAGGAAUAAAAAUAGGAAGCCAGAGUGGACAGAAACAGGGGAGGCUGUCAGUGGAUGGGGACAGAGGAGAAAGAGGAGGAUAGCUCAGCCUGGCUGCACAGUUUGAACAAAUGCUCAUGAAACUGCACCGUGAGUGUUUCUCAGCAUGCAUGCUUAAGAGCAGUGUGAUUCAGAUUAGCCUAAAAGUAUGAAACUCACAGAGAAAAACAAUGUCUGUCAGACAGUAAAAUACCUUCCAGGUUAGAAAUCCACAUCAGGUCCCAACAGGAACUCACUCUAACAACACUGGGAAAACCUGCCCAGAAAUAGUACACACUGAUAGAAGUCAGCCAGUCAGUGAGUACAGCAAACAAAGAGUACUCAGAAUAAAGGAACUCUCUUGCUGGGAGC
Meleagris gallopavo (turkey) is the source of this 2598-nucleotide non-coding RNA. NCBI's taxonomy places the organism in Eukaryota, Metazoa, Chordata, Aves, Galliformes, Phasianidae. The record is from RefSeq and is a predicted model, not a curated record.